CGAAAGCCUGACGGAGCAAUACCGCGUGAGGGAGGAAGGUUUUUGGACUGUAAACCUCUUUUUUUAAGGAAGAAGAAAGUGACGGUACUUAAAGAAUAAGCAUCGGCUAACUCCGUGCCAGCAGCCGCGGUAAUACGGAGGAUGCAAGCGUUAUCCGGAAUCAUUGGGCGUAAAGCGUCCGCAGGUGGCAGUUCAAGUCUGCUGUUAAAGACAGAAGCUCAACUUCUGAUAGGCAGUGGAAACUGGUGAGCUGGAGUACGGUAGGGGUUGAGGGAAUUCCCAGUGUAGCGGUGAAAUGCGUAGAUAUUGGGAAGAACAUCGGUGGCGAAGGCGCUCUACUGGACCGAAACUGACACUGAGGGACGAAAGCUAAGGUAGCG
Molecule: ribosomal RNA, 380 nt
Filed under: uncultured cyanobacterium
Lineage: Bacteria; Bacillati; Cyanobacteriota
Description: bacterial SSU rRNA
Rfam family: Bacterial small subunit ribosomal RNA
Source: RNAcentral